GCAAUAUAAAAGGACAUUGGAAGCAUUCUGAAUCCUCAAGAUGAGCACUUUGCAAUUGACCCUUCUCACCUCUUAAUUUGGCAAAUAAUAUCUUCCCAAGAAGAUUGGUCUUACAGAGCAGUAAAAAGAGCUUUUAAAUAAAAGUUUAAUGAAACCCAGUUUCGGCAACAAUGCUGUAUUAGUUCGUUCUCACACUGCUAUGAAGAAAUACUCAAGACUGCGUAAUUUAUAAAGAAAAGUUUA
Molecule: long non-coding RNA, 243 nt
Filed under: Homo sapiens (human)
Lineage: Eukaryota; Metazoa; Chordata; Mammalia; Primates; Hominidae
Description: HSALNT0315816
Source: RNAcentral